This is a long non-coding RNA of Magnolia sinica, 1840 nucleotides long. RefSeq lists it as uncharacterized. NCBI's taxonomy places the organism in Eukaryota, Viridiplantae, Streptophyta, Magnoliopsida, Magnoliales, Magnoliaceae. The record is from RefSeq and is a predicted model, not a curated record. The transcript is spliced from 6 exons.
GUGCUUAAAAGAACCAUCAAUUGUGUUCAGUUCUUCGCUUGUUGACCCAUGUUUCUCUACUUUUCUCUCUAUUUGUAUACAUAUUAAUCUAAGGUUGGCUCAUGUUUAUGCCAGAGAUCUCUUUGUAGCAUCGUGGUUAAAAUAUCAGAAUAGAAUUGAACUUUUAGCGUGGUGUACAGGUCUUCUAUGCAUCUAGCAGGUGAGUAGACUAGUGGUUGUUUGUUGCACAUCUGGGAUCAAUUGAAGUAAAUUCAAGUUUUUUUUUUCUUCAGAAUCCUAGAAAUGGUUAUCUGUUUGGUGGCCAAGGGUUUGUUUUGAUACAUCCAUAUGCCUGUCAUGCUGCAAGUGCAGUGAUUGCAUUAGCCAUAGUAGGUUGGUAGAUGUGACUGUCUCUAGCCUGAUUAAUGGGAUUCAAAUUCCAGUUGCGGUCGAUCAGUAGCUGGCUCUGUUUCAAGAUCUGGCUGCUAUGGUGAAUCUCUACGUUGGCUACUGAGUCUUCCCUUUGUCAAGCUGCAGGUGUUGUGGCUGUUUGAGGAUGAUGCAGUUUUUUUUUUUUUUGCUUCCAAUAUAUAUGCAGUUGGAUCUACCUCUGAUGAUGGGAUUCAUCUGCUAGACUUCUACCCAGACUCCACCUCAGCAUGCCAUGUGGAUUUCAAGUGAGCAAUAUCCAAAUCUAGUUAUCUACAGUUAUGAAGUUAUAUAGGCAAUUGAUCCCACCAUAAAGAUCACAUCUGUAUGUUGAGUCAGAACAUUGCUUAUCCAUCUGUUUUGAUGGCGUGACCUACUUCAUGAGUGGAUCAACUGAUUUUUGCUUCAGGUGACUUUCAUGAUGGGGCCUACCACUUGCAUGCUUUUCCCACAGGUGACUCAUUAGCAAGAAAGAUGGAGAUGCAUUUUCUACACAAGGGCAAUGAGAGGAAUUUCAGCCUCAAGCUUUUAUUGAUAAAGCAAGAUUUUCUGCAUUCACAUGUUUUUGUGGAUCGUUACUUGUGACAAACUACUCGUGAAAUUCCUGCAAAUCCAUAGAACUCAGGAAUCAGGCCUCCUACUUUGAAUAUCUUCCCAUCUGAGCCCAUGCAUGUAGAGCCACCUGCCAAGGUGGGUUUAGGUUUUGUGUCUCCAACAAGCGGUGGUUCUAAGAGAGCAUCAGAGGCCUCAACCAGGGAAAGACACCACUAAAUAUUUAGAAAAUUAAAUAUUAAAAUCAGUCUAAGCCUCUCAGGUCAAUAAAAUCAUCAAGCAUACCAAUCAUUUUGGAAAGGGGAAACCUGCAAUCCAUGGCACAAUAUACUUAAAACUUGUGGGAUGCUAGAAAUUCCAUCUAAGUUCCCUCUAUCUGAUGGGCGAAGUUUAUCAAUUAUAGGUAGCAGUUCAUUUGCUGACAAAAGAAAUAGACAAAGGAUAGACCUGGAAAAAAAAAUGAAAACAAAAAUAUAUAUCAAAUGAAACUUUUAUCCUUUUCUUCAAUAGUAAGGUGGCUCAAGAUCUGUUAGAUUUUCAACAUUAAGGUAUAGUAAUGAAGAAGAGGAGACUAAGCAAUUCGAAUAUGGUAUAUAUGUAACUUUUGUCCACCUUCACAAUGGGACAAAGAUCUUCAAACGAAUUAGAUUCAGGACAGGAUUUCACACUGGAUGAUCCCUUCAUUUUGUCUUGUUGUCCUUGGCUUUUCCUUGAAUUUUUGCAGAAUGCAUGUGAACAAGGUCUUCUACACUUUUAGUUACACGUGUUACCGUUGGUGCAGCUGGCAUUCUCUUUGCUGGAACUUACGUGCUGGUUAGACCACCUUCCCUCGACCUUUUCUUUUUCUUUUUUUUACUUUAUCAUCCAACCAGAUUGGAAU